RNAcentral lists this ribosomal RNA (439 nucleotides) under uncultured bacterium. Its description in RNAcentral is "bacterial SSU rRNA". It matches the Rfam family "Bacterial small subunit ribosomal RNA", at positions 340 to 773 of the family's 1533-position model. The record is from RNAcentral.
UACGGAAGGCAGCAGUGGGGAAUAUUGCACAAUGGGCGCAAGCCUGAUGCAGCCAUGCCGCGUGUAUGAAGAAGGCCUUCGGGUUGUAAAGUACUUUCAGUCGUGAGGAAGGUGUUAAGGUUAAUAACCUUAGCAAUUGACGUUAGCGACAGAAGAAGCACCGGCCAACUCCGUGCCAGCAGCCGCGGUAAUACGGAGGGUGCGAGCGUUAAUCGGAAUUACUGGGCGUAAAGGGCACGCAGGCGGUUAAUUAAGUUGGAUGUGAAAUCCCCGGGCUUAACCUGGGAAUGGCAUUCAAGACUGGUUAGCUAGAGUCUUGUAGAGGGGGUAGAAUUCCAUGUGUAGCGGUGAAAUGCGUAGAGAUGUGGAGGAAUACCGGUGGCGAAGGCGGCCCCUGGACAAAGACUGACGCUCAUGUGCGAAAGCGUGGGGAGCAAAC